RNAcentral lists this ribosomal RNA (460 nucleotides) under uncultured bacterium. RNAcentral's name for it is "partial 16S ribosomal RNA". It matches the Rfam family "Bacterial small subunit ribosomal RNA", at positions 338 to 795 of the family's 1533-position model. The record is from RNAcentral.
CCUACGGGUGGCAGCAGUGAGGAAUAUUGGUCAAUGGACGAGAGUCUGAACCAGCCAAGUAGCGUGAAGGAUGACUGCCCUAUGGGUUGUAAACUUCUUUUAUAUGGGAGUAAAAUGUUCCACGUGUGGGAUUUUGUAUGUACCAUAUGAAUAAGGAUCGGCUAACUCCGUGCCAGCAGCCGCGGUAAUACGGAGGAUCCGCGCGUUAUCCGGAUUUAUUGGGUUUAAAGGGAGCGUAGGUGGAUUGUUAAGUCAGUGGUGAAAGUUUGGGGCUCAACCGUAAAAUUGCAGUUGAAACUGGCAGUCUUGAGUACAGUAGAGGUGGGCGGAAUUCGUGGUGUAGCGGUGAAAUGCUUAGAUAUCACGAAGAACUCCGAUUGCGAAGGCAGUUCACUGGACUGCAACUGACACUGAGGCUCGAAAGUGUGGGUAUCAAACAGGAUUAGAUACCCUAGUAGUC